RNAcentral lists this ribosomal RNA (886 nucleotides) under Bacillus pumilus. Its description in RNAcentral is "bacterial SSU rRNA". It matches the Rfam family "Bacterial small subunit ribosomal RNA", at positions 59 to 925 of the family's 1533-position model. The record is from RNAcentral. Lineage: Bacteria; Bacillati; Bacillota; Bacilli; Caryophanales; Bacillaceae.
AAGUCGAGCGGACAGAAGGGAGCUUGCUCCCGGAUGUUAGCGGCGGACGGGUGAGUAACACGUGGGUAACCUGCCUGUAAGACUGGGAUAACUCCGGGAAACCGGAGCUAAUACCGGAUAGUUCCUUGAACCGCAUGGUUCAAGGAUGAAAGACGGUUUCGGCUGUCACUUACAGAUGGACCCGCGGCGCAUUAGCUAGUUGGUGGGGUAAUGGCUCACCAAGGCGACGAUGCGUAGCCGACCUGAGAGGGUGAUCGGCCACACUGGGACUGAGACACGGCCCAGACUCCUACGGGAGGCAGCAGUAGGGAAUCUUCCGCAAUGGACGAAAGUCUGACGGAGCAACGCCGCGUGAGUGAUGAAGGUUUUCGGAUCGUAAAGCUCUGUUGUUAGGGAAGAACAAGUGCGAGAGUAACUGCUCGCACCUUGACGGUACCUAACCAGAAAGCCACGGCUAACUACGUGCCAGCAGCCGCGGUAAUACGUAGGUGGCAAGCGUUGUCCGGAAUUAUUGGGCGUAAAGGGCUCGCAGGCGGUUUCUUAAGUCUGAUGUGAAAGCCCCCGGCUCAACCGGGGAGGGUCAUUGGAAACUGGGAAACUUGAGUGCAGAAGAGGAGAGUGGAAUUCCACGUGUAGCGGUGAAAUGCGUAGAGAUGUGGAGGAACACCAGUGGCGAAGGCGACUCUCUGGUCUGUAACUGACGCUGAGGAGCGAAAGCGUGGGGAGCGAACAGGAUUAGAUACCCUGGUAGUCCACGCCGUAAACGAUGAGUGCUAAGUGUUAGGGGGUUUCCGCCCCUUAGUGCUGCAGCUAACGCAUUAAGCACUCCGCCUGGGGGAGUACGGUCGCAAGACUGAAACUCAAAGGAAUUGACGGGGGGCCCGCA